AAUAAGUGCAGUUUUGCACUGUUCAUCUUCAACGUUUGACCGUUCGUCUUAUUUGAAAAAUUUGUAUGAUUACUAUUUUUAUUGUUAUUAGAUGGUAAAACAUGAAUAGUACUUUAUGUGUAAAUAAUUUUUUAAAAAAAUUUUAUAAAUUUUUUAAAUAAGACGGACGGUCAAAUAUUGGACACGGAUUUUUACAACUGCAUUUAUU
Molecule: microRNA precursor, 208 nt
Organism: Oryza rufipogon (brownbeard rice)
Lineage: Eukaryota; Viridiplantae; Streptophyta; Magnoliopsida; Poales; Poaceae
Rfam family: MIR812 microRNA precursor family
Source: Rfam